This 253-nucleotide ribosomal RNA is filed under the name uncultured bacterium. RNAcentral's name for it is "partial 16S ribosomal RNA". It matches the Rfam family "Bacterial small subunit ribosomal RNA", at positions 524 to 776 of the family's 1533-position model. The record is from RNAcentral.
UACAGAGGAGCCAAGCGUUGUCCGGAUUGACUGGGCGUAAAGCGCACGCAGGCGGUUGCGCGCGUGGGGUGUGAAAUCUGGCCGCUUAACGGCCAGGCGCCAUCCCAUACGGCGCGACUGGAGUGAUGCAGAGGUCGAUGGAAUUGCCGGUGUAGUGGUGAAAUGCGUAGAGAUCGGCAGGAACACCCAGGGGGAAACCAGUCGACUGGGCAGCACCUGACGCUGAGGUGCGAGAGCGUGGGGAGCGAACCGG